UGGCUCAGUGGUAGAGUACUUGCCUCACAUGCAGGAGGCCCUGGGUUCGAUUCCUCAG
This 58-nucleotide transfer RNA is filed under the name Dipodomys ordii (Ord's kangaroo rat). It matches the Rfam family "tRNA", at positions 8 to 63 of the family's 71-position model. From Rfam's summary of the family: Transfer RNA (tRNA) molecules are approximately 80 nucleotides in length. Their secondary structure includes four short double-helical elements and three loops (D, anti-codon, and T loops). Lineage: Eukaryota; Metazoa; Chordata; Mammalia; Rodentia; Heteromyidae. The record is from Rfam by way of RNAcentral.